CAGAACGAACGCUGGCGGCAAGCUUAACACAUGCAAGUCGAACGGAUUGUUAUCAUAGCUUGCUAUGAUAACAAUUAGUGGCAGACGGGUGAGUAAUGCAUAGGAAUCUACCUAGUAGUAUGGGAUAGCCACUAGAAAUGGUGGGUAAUACUGUAUAAUCCCUGCGGGGGAAAGAUUUAUCGCUAUUAGAUGAGCCUAUGUUAGAUUAGCUAGUUGGUAGGGUAAAGGCCUACCAAGGCAGUGAUCUAUAGCUGGUCUGAGAGGAUGAUCAGCCACACUGGAACUGAGAUACGGUCCAGRCUCCUACGGGAGGCAGCAGUGGGGAAUAUUGGACRAUGGGCGCAAGCCUGAUCCAGCUAUGCCGCG
Molecule: ribosomal RNA, 366 nt
Filed under: Candidatus Anaplasma camelii
Lineage: Bacteria; Pseudomonadati; Pseudomonadota; Alphaproteobacteria; Rickettsiales; Anaplasmataceae
Description: bacterial SSU rRNA
Rfam family: Bacterial small subunit ribosomal RNA
Source: RNAcentral